This 253-nucleotide ribosomal RNA is filed under the name uncultured bacterium. RNAcentral's name for it is "partial 16S ribosomal RNA". It matches the Rfam family "Bacterial small subunit ribosomal RNA", at positions 524 to 776 of the family's 1533-position model. The record is from RNAcentral.
UACGAAGGGGGCGAGCGUUGUUCGGAUUUACUGGGCGUAAAGGGCGCGCAGGCGGCCAGAUUUGUCAGGCGUGAAAGCCCCGGGCUCAACCUGGGAAUUGCAUUUGAGACUGCUCUGCUCGGGUGCGGAAGAGGGAAGCGGAAUUUCCGGUGUAGCGGUGAAAUGCGUAGAUAUCGGAAGGAACACCAGUGGCGAAAGCGGCUUCCUGGUCCGACACCGACGUUCAGGCACGAAAGCGUGGGGAGCAAACAGG